UGGGAAUAGAUCCAGAAAAUUUGUUUACUCCUAGAAUAAGAUAUUUUAAAUGUUCAAAUUCACCUAACCAAUCUGGAAGGGGUCCAUCAAAGUUAUUGUCUUCCAAGUCCAAAAUUUCUAGUUCUCGGAGAUUUAACAAUGCCUUAGGUAGAUGUCCUAUUAAAGAACUUGAGCUAAGGUCUAAAUCAUAGAUAUUGGAACUAAGAUUGAAUAGCCACUUAGGUAACUCUGAGUCAAAUUCAUUCGCAGAAAGAUCAAGAACUUUGAGUGCAGUAAAAUUAGCAUAGUUAAGAGACAAACUCAAGUCUUUAAGUUGACAAGCACGCAUUUUGAGGAAUGAAAGUGAUGGAAGCAUAGUCACUAGUUGAAGCCAAUUAGUUUCUUUGCUAAGAUCAAUAUCACGGAGGUUGAGAUAUUCCAAGGAGGAAAUAUAGGGAAGCCAUUGAAGGUUGCUGAUGGCAAGAUUCCUGUUAAGUGAUAAAUCAAGAUGACCAAGAGUUGAAGAGUUGACACACUGACGAGGAGAAGGAACUAUGGAUAGAUUAUGAGAAUUAUGAUUAUGCACAUAAUCAAAUUGUAAUGCUAAGAAGUCAUUGUUUCUCAAAUCCAAGUAAUCUAGAAAUUGCAACUCCACUAAUAACAAGGAUAGGUGAAUGGAACCUGUAAGGCAAUAUGAUUUAUCUUCUUCGUCCCUGUAAGAUGAAAGAGUUGUAGCACACCGAAUACUGAUUCCAGUGACUCUACUGGUGAUGUUAUUACACAUGACUCCUUUCCAUUGACAGCAAUCUAGUUUAGUGGACCAUGAAGAAAGGACACCUGAUGGAUCUAUGAUUCCUUGUUUGAAGUUUAAGAGAGCAUGCAUGUCCUUUUGGUUGCAGUGAAUACUGAAGCUGCAUAAGCGAGUGUUGAAUAUGAUUCCGCAUAGCAACCACGAAACAAUGAUUGCCUUUUGAGAUGGAAGUGUAGUCAUGAUUGCAAGACAAAUGGAGGGGUAAGCUAGAAUGGAUGAUUUCAAAGUAAAGGAGAGAAACUAUACUUAUAGUGAUUGGAGUCCUAAAAGUUUCAUAUUAUUAAGAGUAUUACGUAUACAUAUUCUUUAAUAAUUCAAGAUACUUUUUAAAAGUAAAACCAUAAUGAUAAUAUUGAAUUUUCAAAUAAAUAAUUGUUAUUUUUAAUUCAAAAUAAUGAUGCUUUUAGUUAAUGUAAAAGAUUAUUUUUUAAAUAAAUAAUGUAAAUUUUGCUUUCGGUUCAUGUAAAAGAUUAUUUUUAUGUGUUAAAUCAAAUAAAUAAAUAAACAAGGAUACGCAUUCAUGUGUUAAAUCGGGUCACAAUAUUUUUCACAACAAAAGAAAAAGAAAAAGUGAGCAAGUGAAGCAGAUAAAUUAUUUACAGUAAUUUAAAAACGAGCUCUUUCAAAUACAAAUAUUUGUGUGUGGAGGUUAAAUAAGGACAUAAUUGGUGUAAAAGGAAAUAUGAAAAAAGAGAGAGAUUCCGAUAACAUUAAAUCAAUGUCACUUAUGUCACUUAUGCUAGUAAGAUGUGGACGUGGAACCUAUCCUAUAAGUGGAUAAGAAUUAAAAUAGCCUCAUUUAAAAUUUCACUGGGUUUUGGUCUAAAAUUAUUGGGUGCAGGAAGCAGUGGCCCUCUUGAAAGUCUAGGCCCAUUUGUCUGGACAAGGGUUUUCACUAUUUGCACUUGCGCCUUUUAUAUCCGCAUCACCAUUUUCUAAAAUGCGUAGGCCUAUUAAGCUGGGCCAGUAUUUCCACUAUUUGCACCAGUCUUUUAUUCAUAACCUGCCAGUUAUUAUUUGUUACUAUUUUUAGAAAAAAGCCUUCGACUAUUUAGCUAGUUCAACAGUUUUACUAUUUGCCACCUAAUUAUUUUACAUACACCAUCAUCAACAGUUUUUUUUUAAAAGAAAGAAAUCAAUACAAAUAAAAAAAUAUAUUAAAAAUAUAAUUUUUUACAUUAUCUUCUACUCAAUAUUUUUUUUUUAAAAAAUUAUGAUUUUCUUAAUAAGAUUCACUCAAAGAGUAAAUAGUAUUAUAUAAUUUACAAUAUUUCUCUACUUACUUUAUGAUUUAUAUAUAAUAUUAAAUAUAAUCGUCAACACUCUCUUAUACUCUAACUUGCGUGAAUCAUAAAAAUCAAUAAAGUCAUGCUUCUUAUCUACUUAAAAAAACAAAUUUAGCAUUGCAAACAUUAGAAUAUUAUAUUAUGUUUAUAGACAUGUUAUGGCAAUGAAAUGAGAAAUAUUUUGUUAUAAUUUAAAACCAGAAAUAUCAUAUCAUAUUUAAAGUCAUGCUUGUGAAGUAGAGAAUAAAUUGUUUUAAUGUUUUGAUAAAAGGUGGAUGAAUUAGUUCAUCUAAAAAUAAGUGUAAAUUCAUUAAAUAAUCUUAGUCAUAGAUGAUUUUUUUUUUAUCAUGAUGGGUAUUACAAUAAAUUAUGAUUUAGGAUAUAUGAGUAUGCAUUAUAGAUUGUCAAAUUUUAAUUAAUGACUAAGGUUUAUUAUUUUAUCUUUUAGUUUUUAAUUCUUAAUUUAAAGUAGAAGAGAUCCUUAAUUUCUUUUUACUAGUCAUUUCAAUUUUAUAAAAACAAUUAAUUAUUAAAUUAUUUUUAGUAUUUAUUGGUUUAUUUUUUAAUUUUUUAUGUAGUUCAAUUAAAAAAAAACUUAACAUUUUGAAGUAAAUAAUAUUUUAUUAUAUAGUACUACAUCAAAAUUAAAAUUGCAAAAGAUAAAUUCAAUGUAACAGUAGUUCAAAUUAAUUAAGAAAUAAAAAUAAAUAAAUUUGAUUAAUAUUAAUUACAUUAACCCAUUUAAAUAAGAUGACUUAUCCAAAUAGAAAAGGCCUAUAAAACUUUAAAAAUAAAUAAAUAGAGGUACUAAAACGUUCAAUAAAAAUAAUUAUUUUAAAAAUUAUGAUUAUAAUUAUAUAUAAAAAUAUAUUUUUGUCAAAAGAAUACAAAUUUCAUUAAUAUAAUAAAACUUAAUUAUAGUUGUGUUAUUUUAUAUAAUUUUACAUGUACCAACUUAAUUAGUUAUUCAUUUACUUUAUCAAAUAACAUUCAAUAAACCAAUUUAUAAGCUUAGAACUUUACUUAACUUAUAAAAUAGAAACUAACUUAUUAACUAAUGUUUCUAAAGAGAAUCUAACCCUAACCAUAAUACUAUCACAUUACUUUCUACGAACAUUUUAAAAAUCACUACUAACUAAUGCUACGAAUAUUUAGUGUAAAGUUAACGUGAAAUGAUCUAGCUAUAUAAAAGAUACAACUUAAAUGCUAUAAAGAUCAACACUCUUUGCAUAAUACAUAAUAAAUGAAAAAGAAAAGUUAAAAUUCAAAAUCAUGACACAACUUAAAAAGAAAAAACAAAAUACACCAAUUAUUACUAAUCAAAUAUUAAGUUCAUCACUGUUGGCAUUGUUUGCAGUUUUAUCAUACGAAUUACACCAUCACGUUCUCUUCUUCUACGUUUGAUUCCCUUUUGAAGAAUGGAAAAUGCCUAAGAUAUAAGAUAACAAAAGUUUUUUUAUUAGAAUAAAUAAAUUAAUGGAAAAUGUUCAUUAUCAUAUAAUUUUGCAACUUAAUAUUUUUAAUACAUCACAAAACAUCAAUUAAUUAUAAAGUAUUUUCACUUUUUUUUUAAUUGCUUCUCAUCAAACUCAUAAAACAUCCUUAUAUUUGAUAUUUUUCACUUUACGAUGUAAGAAUUUGUUGGAUCUACUUAAAAAAAGAAAACAUUGUUAAAAUAUAAAUAUUAUUAAGACAGUCUAAGAUUUGUAGUCAAUCAGUUUGUCCCAAUUUUAAUGUCCAUUUUAUCCAGACUCAAUUUUAAUAAAUAAAAAGUAAAACUAGACGAAUUAAAGCAAAUUGAUGUACUUUGUCACUAUACUUUGAUAAGUUACAAGAAUAAUAAAAUCUAUAUUUAUAUAUGCUUUUAAAAAAGUCACUUAAGUUAAGGCACAAGUAUGACAUAUGUAUAAGUUGAGAAAACUCAUUUAUGUACUACAAUCAAUUUAUUUAUAUUUAUAUAUGUUUUAAAUAAAUGGAAUAUAAAUAUUAGUGUAAUUCAAACCAUACAUAAAGAAUUAAAAGAUAAAAGUUAAAGAAUUAAAGUAUAUUUUUGUAAUUAUGAAAGAAAGAGUAGGGAAAGAUAAACUAAAGUGAUAUUUUAACAAAAGGUUUUCACUUACCAGUAUUUGUAUGCAACUUGUUUGAGCUUAACGGAAGGGAUUCAUGUUGACAACCACCAAGACACGAAGUCGAUCUCUCAAGUCAUUAAGAAACUUGAAGUAAGCAUGUCUUAGUUUUGUGUUGAAGAAAACGGCACAACAAACUCCCAAAAAGCCCGUUACAAAUCCAUAUUCUAUUCCGAUGUAAAACCAUGGCCAAAAUUCAUAUUGAUUUCCAUCUUCCCCAACAAGCUUUGUGUCUUUAUGUUUAUCAUCCUGAAAGCACAUUUUGGUAAGUGGGGGUCCACAAAGAUCACUGUUGCCCAUAUAACUAAAAGCAGUGAAUCCUUGAAGUUGUGUGCCUGAUGGUAUUUUGCCUCUCAAAUUGUUGAAUGAAAUAUUCAAGUAAGCCAAAAAGGACAAACUGGAUAAGCUCUGAGGAAUUUCACCCCCAAGUUGGUUUUUUGAAAAAUCAAGAGACUCUAAGUUUUUCAUAUUUCCUAUCUCAUUUAGUAUUUUUCCUGAUAAAUUAUUGUUGGAUAAGUUCAAGGAAGACAAUCCCAUAAGACUAAACAUUUGUGGAGGUAUUGUUCCAGACAAAUUGUUACUUGACAUAUCAAUUAGGGUCAUAAAGUGUAGGUUUCGGUCAUAUUUUGAUACUCGACCUUUAGUAACCAAUUCAAGAUUGUCACUUUCAUAGAUGUAAGCAUUACGAGAUGUAGGAAAGGAAAAAGAAAGUUUGUUUUUAGAAACAUUGUUGAAAAGUAGGGUUUUGAUAUUAGGAAGACAAUUGGGUAUAUGACCAGAGAUUGUGUUAUGUGCAAUAUCCAAUAUAAUGAGGGAAGACAUUUGGCAUAUUUGUGGAGGGAUUUUACCACUAAAAUGAUUGGACCUUAAUUGGAGAGCCAUUACCCUGUGAGAUAUCCAAUCUGGUAUGUUUCCUGAUAAGUGGUUAUUGCGAACAUUAAAGACCAGUAGAGAGCGACAAUUUUGCAAUGAGGGAGGAAUCUCUCCAUUUAGCUUAUUCUCAUGCAAAUGGAGUGAGGUGAGGUUAGAUAGAAAGCCCAUUGAUGAGGGUAUCUUACCUGAUAGAUUAUUGCUUCCCAAGUGAAUAGCAACCAAAGAUUUCCAAUUCUUCCAACAAUUCGUAAGCCCUCCAGAUAGAUUAUUCAAUGAUAUGUCCAAGAACAACAGACUGUUUUUCCCAUUCAACAUCUUAUUAUCACAUAAUAGGGGAGACACGUCUCCUGAUAAUGAAUUAUUUGAUAAGUUGACAAAGACAACGUUUGGUGAUAAUUGAGGCAAGGAACCUUUCAAACCAUUCGAUGAGAGAUCAAUGAUUGUAGAGUUCAACAACACGUUUGAUAUGUUCCCGUCUAUCAAAUUACCUUGUAAUUGGACUUUAGUCAUCCUUGAUACAAAAUUCCAGAAUUUGUUUGGAGCCUCAAAUGAUGAUUCCCAAAUAGUUAACCUUUCAAUAGAUCGUUGAGUAUAUAACCACGCAGGAAGGUUGGGAUUUGAAAACCCGAUAACUAAUUCUUCAAGUUGAAAGGGUGGAAUCCAAUGGGAGUCAAAAUCAAAGAUUAACGAUGAAUAUGAGUAUAUAUCCAGUUCCUUUAAUUUUGACAAUUUAGCAAAAUUUCUCUCGGACACAACUCCUGUCAAUGGAUUUGAGGCAAUAUCCAAGGUAAUUAAGGAAGAUAGAUUUCCCAAAUUUGUGGGAAUAGAUCCAGAAAAAUUGUUUACUCCAAGAAUAAGAUGUUUUAAAUGUUCGAAUUCACCUAACCAAUCUGGAAUGGGUCCAUCAAAGUUAUUGUCUUCCAAGACCAAGUCUUCCAAAUCUCGAUGAUUUAACAAUGCCUUAGGUAGAUGUCCUAUUAAAGAACUUGAGCUAAGGUCUAAAUCAUAGAUAUUGGAACUAAGAUUGAAUAGCCACUUAGGUAACUCUGAGUCAAAUUCAUUUGCAGAAAGAUAAAGAACUUCGAGUGCAGUAAAAUUAGCAUAGUUAAGAGACAAACUCAAGUCUUUAAGUUGACAAGCACGCAUAUUGAGGGAUGAAAGUGAUGGAAGCAUAGUCACUAAUUGAAGCCAAUUAGUUUCUUUGCUAAGAUCAAUAUCACGGAGGUUGAGAUAUUCCAGGGAGGAAAUAUAGGGAAGCCACUGAAGGUUGCUGAUGGCAAGAUUCCAGUUAAGUGAUAAAUCAAGAUGACCAAGAGUUGAAGAGUUGACACACUGACGAGGAGAAGUAAGUAUGGAUAGAUUAUGAGAAUUAUGAUUAUGCACAUAAUCAAAUUGUAAUGCUAAGAAGUCAU
Molecule: long non-coding RNA, 6487 nt
Filed under: Phaseolus vulgaris (common bean)
Lineage: Eukaryota; Viridiplantae; Streptophyta; Magnoliopsida; Fabales; Fabaceae
Description: long non-coding RNA (PVUL_LNC004829)
Source: RNAcentral